Molecule: microRNA precursor, 90 nt
Filed under: Scleropages formosus (Asian bonytongue)
Lineage: Eukaryota; Metazoa; Chordata; Actinopteri; Osteoglossiformes; Osteoglossidae
Description: mir-204 microRNA precursor family
Rfam family: mir-204 microRNA precursor family
Source: Rfam by way of RNAcentral
AUGUGGCCUGUGGGCUUCCCUUUGUCAUCCUAUGCCUGAGGAUAUAAAAUGGGGGCUGGGAAGGCAAAGGGACGUUUGCUUGCCAUCAUC